Molecule: long non-coding RNA, 3807 nt
Filed under: Panax ginseng (ginseng)
Lineage: Eukaryota; Viridiplantae; Streptophyta; Magnoliopsida; Apiales; Araliaceae
Description: long non-coding RNA (PGIN_LNC005669)
Source: RNAcentral
CUAUAUUAAUUUUUAGCCAAAUUGGCUAAGUUUAGAGAAAGAAAGAGAAGAAAAGAGACACUAAGCCAAGCACCCUCAAUUUCCUAUAUCUGGUAAUUAAAAGGAUGGACAGGAAAAAAAUAAACCACUUCAGUACUCAUUAAUCUCCAUUUCCGUUCUCUCCAUCUCCCUCUCUAAUAAUUCACUCUCCAAUACUACCAAGACACCAAAACAAAAAAAAUUCACUAAAUUCUCAGAAACUUGGAAUAGCAAACGAAAUUGGAAGGGGAUUUGGACAUAAUACUGUCAAGAGAAGACUUCAAAAAUAACUUGGAGUAGCAAUUGAGCAAGAAUCAAACCAAUUAAGAGGUAAGUCAUAUGUUAUGAAUUUGAACAUAGAAAGUGAGUUGAAUAAUGUCUUAUAUGGUCAUGUUUGUUAUGCUUGGUUGGGAAAUUGUGUGUGGUAAAGGGAUUAUAUGAUGGUUGGAGCUAUAAGGAAGGAUUAUCAUGAAAAUCCUUUGCUAAACAGUACCUAAAGAAAAUCUGGAAAAUAAACUAUGAACACAUAAUGUUUGAUAAAAUACCUCAAAGAGGUUUAAUGCUUAAAAAUCAAAAAUUAAGCAAAGCUUGGGGCUACGUAACCUUUAUAUAUGUGUUACGAUGUUAAUUAAGCUAAUUGGGUGAAUCAAAUCAAGCUUAAAGCAAGUUUUAAAGAAUUUCUAAACAUUUGAAUUUGAUGAAAAAGUAUUUAACAUUGCAUAUUCAAGCCUAUGAAAUCAGAUCAUAACGAGUCCGAAUUGGGCAUAGUAUAUUUUUAUAAAAUACUAUGUAUUACCAUGUAUAACAUAUCAAAAUUUGGGAACAAUCGGAUAAAAGGAUUGCAAGAUACAAAAUCGCGAAGUAGCUAAGAAAUCAUCAAAAGUGCUGGAAAUUCUGGGCAGCCCCUGCUCCAAAUCCCAACUUCUGUUGUAUAUUAAGAAAUUCUCUAAGUCAUAUUGAAAAUAUGUGAUAUAGCUAAUUAUUAUCAAAUGAAGUGGAGUAUACAAAGUUUACUUAAAGUUAGUAAACUAGUUAAUGUAAGUAUAUUCAUGUAUAGUUUUUGUUAAAAAUUGGAUCCUUGUGGACUGAAUUAGAGCCAUGGAGAUUAGCGUGGUUGUGCGGAGUAAUAAGGUGGGAAAAAAUUGGCUAGAACACAAUCCAAACUCUAUGAAAACUGAAUUUUAAAGCGACACACACUAUGUGUUAGCUAAAAGUCCUCUAAGGACUGUUUUUGUAAAAAAAAAAAUGAAAACUAAGCGAAGACAAGACCCGAGUUAUAUAUAUACACAUUAUAUAUAACUAAUUAGAGGGUUUGGGUGAAUGGAAUCGAGAGAGGAAAUAUUUUUUGAGACAAAACGAAAGGUCCGAAAGAUUGUGUGACUGCUGACCCUAAAACAUAAAUUCGGGGAGAGUAUAUGUUUCCAAAAAAUUCUGGGCUUUUGGGGUAUUAUAGUACACUGAAUAAGCUUUCCAUAGACUCCAGAACGGACUAAUUCAGAUUUCGGAGUAAAGAGUUAUGACCAUUCAAAGUAGUCGCGUCAAAACUGUCCAACCAAUUCCGACCAGUCCCCUUUGCACGAAAUUCUGGACUGUUGUGUUUGGAAUUUGGAAAAGGUCAAAAGUAGGAGUUGUAGCCCCGGAAGUUAGCUUCGCGUGGGCGCAAGAAUCGCUCAAAAAUGUUUUGAAACGAAAAAGUUAUGAUUGUUUUAGUGAGAGAGGGUAAAGCUGAAACGAAAGUGAAAACUGUUAUGAACGUACACUUUUGGCGCUCUGUUUGGGCAGCCUAACAAAUCCAAAAUGGGAUUUUGAUAUUUUUUAAAAAUAGUCUCAUAUGAUACGAAAAACAUACAAAAAUUUAUAAUCGAUCCGAUAAACGAGCAAGGCGUGAGAAAAUCGCAAAGUAGGCAACUCGUUAAGUGUUGCAGCAGGCCAAGGCGGCAGCAGCAGGGCAGGCAGCGCCCAGCGCCGCUGACACCUGCUGUGCAUGCUGCUGCUGGAGUGAUUUUUGAGCUCCGUUACGGGUAGUCUCUGUGGUUCGUUUUCGCGGAUAGAAAUUUUAAAAAAAUACUAUGACAUGAGGUCUAUAACAUACCAUAAAUUUGCCGCGAUUCGAUUAAUGUUUUAAGAAUUAAAAAUUUGCGAAUGAGCAUGUCAGAACUUAAAAACAAGUGACGCCGAACAUAUCCAACAUGAGCUGUUUUGAGGUUCGACGUUUCAGAUCGUAUUUGGGCUAAAUUUUAAGCAACAUAAAGCCUAAUAAAGACCCAAGAUCGAAGUAUUGAGGUUAUAUCGUACUUUAUGCCAUGAAAAUUCAUUCCGGGCAUAAAGAAUGAAAUAAAAAUGUAAGGUAAUUAUAAAUUUACAUAGAUAUGUGAAUGUAAGCCUGAAAUGACACAUAAAAUGGUUUUAUAGCGAAACGAAAAACAUGAAAACCAUUAAAAAUAAUAAUGGUUAUGAAAGUAAUAAAAUGAAGGUUUCUGGAGUUUGAAACGAACAUUUUGAACGAAUAAUUAUAACGGAUAUAGUUAUGUAUAUGCGAAGCGAGAAUGCGAAUUAUUCGCGAGAUAAAAUGUGAAGCUAAGUUGCUUAUGAAAUAAAGCAUUCGCGUAAGAGAUUCGCGUAAGAGGGGAUAUGAUGAUUUAACUCAUGAAUUGUCAAAAAGACAUAAAAAUUAUAUAAAUAAAAGAAAUAAUAUAGUAAGUCGUGUUUUACAAUAAAAGUUAUAUAUUAAUCAUUUAAAUCCCGACUUUGCGAGUAAAGGCAAAUGAUAUUUCUAAAAUAGAAUAUGGAUGGUUCAAGCUUCAAGAUGUAAAAUAUUUACAUAUUAAAAUGUGAGAGACCUUUAUUGUGCAUAAAAAGGUUAAAAUGAAUAAAGUUUCUAAAUAAACCAAGAUUGGUUUUAAGAUGAGAAUAAAAUAUUAUAGUUUAUAUACACUAAUAAUCAUGGUUAAUAUAUAUGCAUGCAUGUUUUUGUUACAUAAAUGGUUACUUAAUAUGUGUGUAUAUGUAAACACGAUUGUGUAGAAAUUUUGGAAGGAAGCUAAGUUAAUUUUAACGACAAUCUCCAAUCAAGGCAAGUUUCUCAGUUUAUUUAUGUGGACUUAUAAAUGCUAUAAAUAAUUGUUAGCAUGACUUAUGUUUAUAGAUAUGUAAUGCCUAUGAAUUGCAUUAAUUGCUUUGUGAAUGAUGAAAGUCAAAUUAUGACUAAUUGUUGAAUUGAGUCGGGGAACUCAAUAUAUAUGUGCAAUGAAUGACAGAUGCAAUUCAUGUGUAGUAUGCUAUGGUGCGUAUGUUACUACUAAUAGAAUUUAAGUUUGAUGAUGCGAUUGUAAUAUGCUUGAACUCCAAGAAUAUAAAUGAAUGAACUGAAUGUGAAACUUAUAUGCUAUGUGAUGCAUGAUAGGCUGUUAGACUUGCUGGGUCGUCGUGCUCAAUCUUGCUUAAUUUGCAGGUUAAUAAAGCUAUGAUGCGAUCUCUCGUGAUUAGAAGCGCUUGAAAAGAAGAAUAGUUGUUUAAUGCAGAAAGUAUUAAACCCUGAUGAUGGUAUUUUACAUGUAAACCACAGAGAAGUAAAUCGUUGAAUAAUUCAAUAGAUGAAGAUCAUUUGUUCUGAAUUAGGAAUAUGUUUGAAAUAAUGAAUUAUACAUAUAUUCAUAUCUAUUUAUAUUAAAUAAAUCAUGUAAUAAAUAUGAUUUUAAAUAUUAAGAAGAAUCGUAAAGGUUGCGAUUCAGGGAACGAAUGAAUGAAUGGAAAGAAAGGAAAAAAAAUUUAUUCCGCAUUUUUUAGCUA